RNAcentral lists this ribosomal RNA (496 nucleotides) under uncultured bacterium. RNAcentral's name for it is "partial 16S ribosomal RNA". It matches the Rfam family "Bacterial small subunit ribosomal RNA", at positions 28 to 506 of the family's 1533-position model. The record is from RNAcentral.
GAUGAACGCUGGCGGCGUGCCUAAUACAUGCAAGUCGAGCGAACAGAUGAGGAGCUUGCUCCUCUGACGUUAGCGGCGGACGGGUGAGUAACACGUGGAUAACCUACCUAUAAGACUGGGAUAACUUCGGGAAACCGGAGCUAAUACCGGAUAAUAUAUUGAACCGCAUGGUUCAAUAGUGAAAGACGGUUUUGCUGUCACUUAUAGAUGGAUCCGCGCCGCAUUAGCUAGUUGGUAAGGUAACGGCUUACCAAGGCAACGAUGCGUAGCCGACCUGAGAGGGUGAUCGGCCACACUGGGACUGAGACACGGUCCAGACUCCUACGGGAGGCAGCAGUAGGGAAUCUUCCGCAAUGGGCGAAAGCCUGACGGAGCAACGCCGCGUGAGUGAUGAAGGUCUUCGGAUCGUAAAACUCUGUUAUUAGGGAAGAACAAAUGUGUAAGUAACUAUGCACGUCUUGACGGUACCUAAUCAGAAAGCCACGGCUAACUACGU